This 504-nucleotide ribosomal RNA is filed under the name uncultured bacterium. RNAcentral's name for it is "partial 16S ribosomal RNA". It matches the Rfam family "Bacterial small subunit ribosomal RNA", at positions 30 to 523 of the family's 1533-position model. The record is from RNAcentral.
AUUGAACGCUGGCGGCAGGCCUAACACAUGCAAGUCGAACGGUAGCACAGAGAGCUUGCUCUCGGGUGACGAGUGGCGGACGGGUGAGUAACGUCUGGGAAACUGCCCGAUGGAGGGGGAUAACUACUGGAAACGGUAGCUAAUACCGCAUAACGUCGCAAGACCAAAGUGGGGGACCUUCGGGCCUCACACCAUCGGAUGUGCCCAGAUGGGAUUAGCUAGUAGGUGGGGUAAUGGCUCACCUAGGCGACGAUCCCUAGCUGGUCUGAGAGGAGUACCGGCCACACUGGAACUGGGACACGGUCCAGACUCCUACGGGAGGCAGCAGUGGGGAAUAUUGCACAAUGGGCGCAAGCCUGAUGCAGCCAUGCCGCGUGUAUGAAGAAGGCCUUCGGGUUGUAAAGUACUUUCAGCGGGGAGGAAGGCGGUGAAGUUAAUAACUUCACCGAUUGACGUUACCCGCAGAAGAAGCACCGGCUAACUCCGUGCCAGCCGCCGCAGUAA